AGUGAACGCUGGCGGUAGGCCUAACACAUGCAAGUCGAACGGCAGCACAGUAGGAGCUUGCUCUUACGGGUGGCGAGUGGCGGACGGGUGAGGAAUACAUCGGAAUCUACUUUUUCGUGGGGGAUAACGAAGGGAAACUUACGCUAAUACCGAAUACGACCUACGGGUGAAAGCAGGGGAUCUUCGGACCUUGCGCGAUUGAAUGAGCCGAUGUCGGAUUAGCUAGUUGGCGGGGUAAAGGCCCACCAAGGCGACGAUCCGUAGCUGGUCUGAGAGGAUGAUCAGCCACACUGGAACUGAGACACGGUCCAGACUCCUACGGGAGGCAGCAGUGGGGAAUAUUGGACAAUGGGCGCAAGCCUGAUCCAGCCAUACCGCGUGGGUGAAGAAGGCCUUCGGGUUGUAAAGCCCUUUUGUUGGGAAAGAAAAGCAGCAGGUUAAUACCCCGCUGUUCUGACGGUACCCAAAGAAUAAGCACCGGCUAACUUCGUG
Molecule: ribosomal RNA, 492 nt
Filed under: uncultured bacterium
Lineage: Bacteria
Description: partial 16S ribosomal RNA
Rfam family: Bacterial small subunit ribosomal RNA
Source: RNAcentral